Molecule: RNA transcript, 1100 nt
Organism: Argentina anserina (silverweed cinquefoil)
Lineage: Eukaryota; Viridiplantae; Streptophyta; Magnoliopsida; Rosales; Rosaceae
Gene name: CASP-like protein 5A1
Exons: 6
Source: RefSeq, a predicted model, not a curated record
AUAAAAACCACUCCAAUCCCCCAUUUUCAAACACCCAACAUUCCCAUUUCUCCAAUUGAUCAGCUCUAAACCUCUACUCUUUAAUGGGUUCAACACCACACUGAUCGGCUCUUGUUUCACUUCGCCCCAUUCCCGACGAUGAGCCUCAGCCGUCCGUCGGUCCACCCGGUGGAGGCUCCACCUCUGACUGACGUGGCCGCCCUCAGAGUCCGGAUGAAGGACGUUCAGGGCAUGCCUGGAACUGCCGGCAGCCUCGCUCUCCGUCUUUCCCAGCUCGUCUUCGCCGGAAUCUCGCUUGCUGUCAUGGCCUCCACCAAUGAUUUCCCGUCUGUUACUGCGUUUUGCUACCUUGUUGCUGCUGUGAGCUUGCAAUGUGUGUGGAGCUUAUCACUGGCGAUUGUUGAUAUUUAUGCCAUGUUGGUAAAGCGGAGUUUGCGAAACUGCAAGGUUGUUUGUUUCUUCACCAUUGGGGAUGGGAUCACCUCCACUCUCACAUUUGCUGCCGCAUGCGCUUCUGCUGGAAUUACCGUCCUCAUUGCCAAUGAUCUUAACAAAUGUGCUGUGAACCAUUGCAAAAGUGUCCGAACGGGCAAGGAAGAAGAGAUGUUGGCGAAGAAUGGUCAUAUCGAAUUCAAGGAAAGCAUGACCUCUUAUGCUCUAUAACUCAGCUCCUUGAGCUGCUUAAUCAUCUAUAUAUGUCCCAAUAUUUCUAGUUAUCUUCACCAAAUUGUCCAAAAGUGAGAAGGGUUUCAGACUCUUCGAUGUUGAGCAUGUCUGAUAAGGGUAAGGAAGACGAAGAGGAGAAAAGGCUCUAUCGGUGUGCAAGGACUUACAACAGAAUUGUAAUACAGUUUGACGAAUUGAUGGAGAUAAUGAACACCAAGAUCAAACCUCCUAAUCGCCGAGGGAAUUCUACAAAUUCUGUAGCUCAUCAGGAACACAAUGAAGUAAUUGUUCAGACAGUUACAAGAUUCCUCCAAGAAUUGAGGAAUGAAUCGCCGGAUGCUAAGAGCUCAUCGACUACCAGAUCUUCGAACUAGUAAUAAUUAUACUAGAAAUUAAUAUAAAAUAAAAACUCUGUUAUCCUUAUCAAUCAACAU